Molecule: ribosomal RNA, 253 nt
Filed under: uncultured bacterium
Lineage: Bacteria
Description: partial 16S ribosomal RNA
Rfam family: Bacterial small subunit ribosomal RNA
Source: RNAcentral
UACGGAGGGUGCAAGCGUUGCUCGGAAUUAUUGGGCGUAAAGGGCAAGUAGGUGGUCUCAUUUGUCUGGGGUGAAAGCCUUGAGCUUAACUCAAGAAGUGCCCCAGAAACGGUGAGACUGGAGUCCUGGAGAGGGUCGUGGAAUUCCCGGUGUAGCGGUGAAAUGCGUAGAGAUCGGGAGGAACACCAGAGGCGAAAGCGGCGACCUGGACAGGUACUGACACUCAACUGCGAAAGCGUGGGGAGCAAACAGG